CAGUAGGGAAUCUUCCACAAUGGACGAAAGUCUGAUGGAGCAACGCCGCGUGCAGGAUGAAUGCCUUCGGGUUGUAAACUGCUUUUAUCUGUGACGAUUAUGACGGUAGCAGAUGAAUAAGGAUCGGCUAACUCCGUGCCAGCAGCCGCGGUCAUACGGAGGAUCCAAGCGUUAUCCGGAAUUACUGGGCGUAAAGAGUUGCGUAGGUGGCACUGUAAGUUGUUAGUGAAAGCGUCCGGCUCAACCGGAUACACAUUACCAAAACUGCAGAGCUAGAGGACGAGAGAGGUAAUUGGAAUUCCUAGUGUAGGAGUGAAAUCCGUAGAUAUUAGGAGGAACACCGAUGGCGUAGGCAGAUUACUGGCUCGUUCCUGACACUAAGGCACGAAAGCGUGGGUAGCAAACGGGAUUAGA
RNAcentral lists this ribosomal RNA (414 nucleotides) under uncultured bacterium. RNAcentral's name for it is "bacterial SSU rRNA". It matches the Rfam family "Bacterial small subunit ribosomal RNA", at positions 352 to 782 of the family's 1533-position model. The record is from RNAcentral.